CCGGAACUGCGUACCUAGAGGUCCGGACCUCAUUCUAGCUUGAGGUCUGGCCUCCUAAGCUUUCUUCCACAGGACGGGGGGCCAGAGUACCUGGAGACCGGCAGCGCCAGCUACUAGCGUUGCAGGGGACGAAUUCCCCCGCAGAGAACACCGGCGCGGUCCGUCCGAGCAGGCGUCAACCACGACAUGGAUUUGGCCCCACCUGCGGGUUAUUACCUCACCCGCAGGUGGGCCCGGGGGCCACAUGGCGGAUUGCACCCGCCUAAUCCUAAGUGUAGGAUGAGCUUGGGGGCAGUCAAGGAGUGCUCGAUUUAGAGGCGAAUGAAUGCGAGAAGCACACAAGGAUUUAGAGUGGUUCGGGCCGACGGAGCGUAAUACCCUACAUCCACUGUGUGUUGUAUUGCCUGUCCCCCGAGUGUGCUCUCUUAGCCCGAGAGGGAGGAUAUGUUCAGAGUGUUCUGAGAGUUGUGACUCAGUUGUCU
This is a long non-coding RNA of Panicum virgatum (switchgrass), 482 nucleotides long. RefSeq lists it as uncharacterized. The transcript is spliced from 2 exons. NCBI's taxonomy places the organism in Eukaryota, Viridiplantae, Streptophyta, Magnoliopsida, Poales, Poaceae. The record is from RefSeq and is a predicted model, not a curated record.